Molecule: long non-coding RNA, 4952 nt
Organism: Cuculus canorus (common cuckoo)
Lineage: Eukaryota; Metazoa; Chordata; Aves; Cuculiformes; Cuculidae
Exons: 2
Source: RefSeq, a predicted model, not a curated record
AACCGGGAUUGCAUUUAAUUAUCCCGUGACCCCAGGUGGCCUACACCUCUCCAUGCCUGUUAGCCACUGAGUGCUAGCAGAACUGCUUAGCUGAAAGCUGCCUUUUGCAUGUUGAUGGGCAUUGCAAAUCCUCCUACAGAGUCGUCUUUCAUGUCAAGACAAUAUCAAGCACAGCAAAACAUCACCAUAUGUCCUUCCCUCCACUUCUCCCUGUGCUUUGCAGGUCAAGAGACAGAGGGAUAACUGACAAGGUAGAACUGGCACAAACCUCCAGGCAAGAUGAUUAAAAGCAGAGCAAAAGAAUAGGCCAGUAAAACUGCAUUCAAGACUAACAGAACAGGUCUGUUCUUCAACCCACCACAAUUUGAUGUCAGAGUUCUGAUUAUCAUCAGCCUCUUCAUUCUUUAGCUAAAUUCUAAAACAGAUUUGCAGGGAGAAUGUUUUUGAGACUUGAACAAGAGAAGAUUUUGAAUAAGUUAGUUCAGCACGGAUUCCUAAAGUGAUUUUCCACUCAUCUUAUCCAAGGCUUCACUCAUUCAUAUGAUGAAAUAUCAUGGGAAGAAAGUCACAGUGCUUACUGUGCCAGGUGCUAAACUAAAAUGAUGAAAAUGAAUUAACAAGGUGACCCGAAGACUGCAGUCUCCUGCUGCUUUUGUCUUGACCUCUAGAGUUCCCCAGCACCCUGGUCAGACUUCCCAUUUUCUCUAGUGUUUUUCAUGUUUGGAAGUCAGUGACCUAUGCGAAACAGCAGCAAAUCUAAUCGCCGUGUGUCAGAACGGAGGAGAAGGAGAAGAGAGAGCUUCCCACCCCAAGGACACUGUUUAUGCCCUAGAGUGUCAGGCCAGUGCGCUCAUUAACAGACGAUCAAAAGCUUAGUUCAGUGGCAAGCUUUCAGGAGACCAAGAAGAAGCCAUACAUGGAGUCACACAUUGCUCUCCUUUCCCAGUUCCCACUGGGAUCCUUCACGUAUUUAGGUGUGUGCAGGGAGCUGCAGCUUACAGUACAUUGCUGGAGACAGUAUUGCAGUUAGCCAUCAUUCUUAGCUGGAGAUGUUGUGUCCCAGCAAGGUCUGUGGGAGAGGAACUGGUACCCUAAAUGUGUGAAGGAUUCCAGUGGGACUUGGGGAGCAGCCCUUUACUUUGAAAAGGCAGCUAUUCCCUGGUUCAGGCAGUGAGCUUCAAAACCGAGCAGUCUGUUUCUGUAGAAAUGACAAUGCACAGGCAAAGUGAACCUCAACAUUAAUCUACAGAGUAGCAGCCUUCAGGCAGUGACCUUUCAUACCCAGCCCUUCAUUCCCUUGAGUGCAAGAACUGGGCUCCUUUUUCGUGUUUGUUGUGCAAAAAUUUGAAGUGAAACAAAUGUACUAUUGGCCUGUACUGAGGCUUAGAAAAACAGCAGGAGGUUUUGAAACAAUGGCAAGCAGCAGCUACAGCAAGCUGCCUCAAGAGACAAGCUCUUCUGCAACAUUCAGAGCAAUAGCUGUCCAAGUGCUCAAAAAGGAUAGUUAUUUAGGAGAAGAUAAAGGUAUUCCACAGAAAUUUCUAUUCACAGUGCUAAUGCUCUCUCUGACAAGCUUUUCCUCUCCUUCUAUUGUUAUUCAUUUUGACCACAAAGCAAAGGGAAUGAAGUUGCUACAUUUUAUGUAACAGUUUCUUGAAAUUCUGGCUUGCAAGAGAGCACAGCAAGGAAGAUAGAAGACAGCUCAGACACACUCAUUCAAGCAUGAUUUACUUUCUUUGUGUAUGAAGCUUUCUGUGACUUGCCAUGCCAUGCUACGAAUGUGUUUUUAAUCAUCAGGACUGCUGAUAGAGAGAAAUGUAACAAGAAUUGGCCCUAGGAGGGCAGCUGAAUUCCUUCUUGCUUGGUGAGCUCCUACCCACCUGGUGAAUAUCGGCAUCUCAAAACUAAAAGACAGACCACUGUAACAAGCUCCAGCCCCAGAAGACAUGAAUCUGUUUCAUGAUAUCCACUUCUUAUUCCAAGCUUUGGUGGAUAGUCAUCAACUGUAUGAUGAAAGUAUUUCUAAAGCACAUCUACUUUUUUUCUCCUCUCCUGCUGGGCUGAGUGGGUUGGUGAAAGGGAUAGCAGUUGUAACAAUCUUCUGUGCAUUGCUCUAUUGGAUCCAAUUGCACAAAACACUGAUUCAGACCUGCACUGACUGCUUCAUGCAAACCUGGACCAGCUUGAAUGGGUCAGGCAACAGAGACUUCCUAGGAGCAUCAAUGUGGGUUUUGAUCAGUGUGGGGGUUCUUCAGUGCUGCCCCUGCAGAACUUGUGUUGGCCUUGGGUGUAGCUUCUAUGUUGCUUUGGUAGUGAUAACCGUGCAAUGUGAUAUUAGUCCAGCAAAUAUUGUAGCUAUCCUUUGUGCUUUAGAUCAAGUUCCUUUUUAAUUUUGCAGACAUCUGACUCAUCAGUGCUUCACAUCUGGGUAUCAUCACUUCUCCCAACGGGAUGUGCCUGAGGUAGCUCUGACUAAGGAAUUGAAGGACAUUUUUGCCCUUUCAUGCUAAUCCUUUAGAAGGGAAAGCCAAACCCAUGCCCUUUCUCACCUAAUAAACUCUAACAAUGGAAAAUCCUUAAAAAAAGAGAAACUUGACAGUGCCCACUAUAUAUAGAAAUUGUGGUAGAUAAAGCUCUGUGGUUGAAACAUAGGGAAGGAGUAGGAAGUGCGAUCUUUAUCAUCUUUGGUAGUCAAAAGCCUAAGUUCCCUGCUGCGUUACUAACAGAGGUACCUGGUGCUGUGUGGCACUCUUGUUCAGAAUGUGCCCUACUGCUCUCUGAUUGCAACUUAAAACCUUUAUGAAUCAUUGCCACCAGUCUCACUGAGGCCAGCCACUUAGUAGGAUUCAAAACAUAAUUAAACAUUCAUGUAGAUAAUCAAACCAUCCACAGCUACAUUAGAUGUGUUCAAAUUGUAAUUAGGGAUAACUCUUCAUGCUUUUAAGGCAUGUUAAAGCUGGCUUCUAGUCUUAAUACAUCUGAUGGUGUGUGUUUAUGUAGGUAAACAGGUGGGAUGGUUGAGGCCCUAGUUUGAAAACCAAUCCUUAAUGACUGUGCUGCUGUGUUUCACCCAGCCACUCUCAGCUCGCUUUUCACAACGCUUUUUUUUUCACAGCUUCUGGCUCCAAGAUUGUUAUCAAUAGUCCAGAUGCUGCCUCAAAGCUGAGAGGGAAAAGUAAUGAGUCUUUCAGACAAACCAUCCACAACAGUCCAGAUUCUGAUCUCAGGCUCACUGACAGAAAUUGGAACAACUCAACAGGCUUUAAAAUUCACAGUUAUUUGGCUUCAGAGCCAGGUAGCUGAGAGCUGACUCUGACUAAAAGGAUACUCCUUGGGAGCAUUGCGGAUCCAGAGCUCAAAGCUGAGAGGACCCUGUUCUGCCAUGGGACUGCAGAAUCUCUCUCCUGCAGCUGCCAGCAAAAAGUUUUGUCUAUAGACCCACACUCCUUUACCAUCCUAAUGGGCACAUUCAGGCUGCAUGAUAAAGAGUUUUUCUUCAUGGGAAAACAGCAUUCAGUUUGUGAACUUAGAGGGGAUUGUUUGCUACAUUUACUGUGGAGGUGAACAGUUCACUGGAGCUUUCAUGCUCACCCAAAUUCACCCACAUGGUAUUACACGCAUUGCUAACAGCAAUUCUUAUUUUUUUAAUUGCGUAUGCACAACCCAGUCAUUAGAGGUUCUGCUAUAAAUCCAAGACUGAGCAGAGAGGCGACAUUUUUUAAAUUCAUGGUGGGAAAGGUCAGAAAAAGUGGAGCAUUUUUCACAGAGAGGAUUCAGUCUGACUGUAAAACAGAAAAGAAAUAAAACAGUUUCCUUUUUGCCUCCCUCAUCUGAGUAUGCUAUAAACCUAAGGAAAUGCUGAGUCUUAUUCAUUUUUUUAUGGCUUUACAGUUCAAGAAGUAGAAACCCAUUUGACUCUCAAAUGUUGGGGAAAAAAUAAUUCCUGAACUUGUCACCAUUCUUUCCUGUCUUUUGUGUCUGUACCUAAGGCAUGCUGCCAGCUUUGUGCCCAUGGUUUUCAGCACUAUAUCAAGAAAGAUAAAUAUGCAGUUUUCUAUAGAAAGCAAACAUGGCUUUUGGUCACACCUGUGUAAAUCCAGUUAUAAUUCCAGAGAGGUAAAUAGCAGAACUCCAGGUUUUCAGCAUUGUAAAUGACGCCAGAAAUGGAGUUGUUCAAACCUACUUGAGAGAGAAAUGAUUUAUAUAGAAGAUUAUUUGAUGCCACCUUUCUUUUCCUUCCCACAAUUUGCAUGUGUGCCUGUGACUUUAUAAGGCCCUGACAGAAGGAGCAGAGGCUGUGUGACAGCUUGCAAGGAGACCUUCUGCAGAGACACAUCCAGCUUGGCCAGUGAAAUCUAUCUGUGUGGCACCUGUUAGUUACGCACAGCAGGACUGUCCAUCAUCUCUUGUAGUAGCUCUGCAUUUCCAUAGCACACUGUGGUGCAGGCAGAGGAGAAAUUACUCUCUAACUAUGAAACAGUGAAUGAGAAAUUUCUGCUCCUGUUUAUGCUGUCAGACCACCAUCCGGGAUGCUGUACAUCAGCUGGAGAGGGGGAAGGGAAUGUAGUUGAUUCCACAGGCAGCUGCCAAAUCUCGAUCCUCAAAACAAGCUCUCAAGCAUUUAUCUUUGCUUUCUACCUCAUAAGAUCCUGUAAAAAUAUUGUUACCAAGUAGAUAAAUGUUUAAAGAGGAAUGUGGAGCACCUCAUGCCAUUCAAAAGGGAAAAUAGUCCCAUAGUGUAAAAAGAUGUAGUAAAACAAAGAGCAUACACUGUCUAUGCAUUUUGUGAUCUAAUGCCCAAAUCACAAAUGGAUAGACAGCAAUUUCCACUGCUGAACUGCAGCAAGAUGUCCUUGGGGAUACUUGGACUGGACUGCUCUAGUAUGAGGAACAGAAGGAAAAAAAGAAUAUCAUAUGGAAGUAUAAAAAAAAUAUAAUAUGGAAAUAUAACA